AUUGAACGCUGGCGGCAGGCCUAACACAUGCAAGUCGAACGGUAACAGGAAGAAGCUUGCUUCUUUGCUGACGAGUGGCGGACGGGUGAGUAAUGUCUGGGAAACUGCCUGAUGGAUGGGGAUAACUACUGGAAACGGUAGCUAAUACCGCAUAACGUCGCAAGACCAAAAAGGGGGACCUUCGGGCCUCUUGCCAUCGGAUGUGCCCAGAUGGGAUUAGCUAGUAGGUGGGGUAACGGCUCACCUAGGCGACGAUCCCUAGCUGGUCUGAGAGGAUGACCAGCCACACUGGAACUGAGACACGGUCCAGACUCCUACGGGAGGCAGCAGUGGGGAAUAUUGCACAAUGGGCGCAAGCCUGAUGCAGCCAUGCCGCGUGUAUGAAGAAGGCCUUCGGGUUGUAAAGUACUUUCAGCGGGGAGGAAGGGAGUAAAGUUAAUACCUUUGCUCAUUGACGUUACCCGCAGAAGAAGCACCGGCUAACUCCGUG
This 490-nucleotide ribosomal RNA is filed under the name uncultured bacterium. RNAcentral describes it as "partial 16S ribosomal RNA". It matches the Rfam family "Bacterial small subunit ribosomal RNA", at positions 30 to 507 of the family's 1533-position model. The record is from RNAcentral.